CCUACGGGAGGCAGCAGUGGGGGAUAUUGCACAAUGGGGGGAACCCUGAUGCAGCGACGCCGCGUGAGCGAAGAAGUACCUCGGUAUGUAAAGCUCUAUCAGCAGGGAAGAAAAUGACGGUACCUGACUAAGAAGCCCCGGCUAAAUACGUGCCAGCAGCCGCGGUAAUACGUAGGGGGCGAGCGUUAUCCGGAUUUACUGGGUGUAAAGGGAGCGUAGACGGUUCUGCAAGUCUGAAGUGAAAGCCCGUG
This 251-nucleotide ribosomal RNA is filed under the name uncultured bacterium. RNAcentral's name for it is "partial 16S ribosomal RNA". It matches the Rfam family "Bacterial small subunit ribosomal RNA", at positions 338 to 606 of the family's 1533-position model. The record is from RNAcentral.